UACGAAGGGGGCGAGCGUUGUUCGGAUUUACUGGGCGUAAAGGGCGCGCAGGCGGUUCUGUUGGUCGAGGGUGAAAGCCCCGGGCUCAACCUGGGAACUGCGCUCGAAACGGCGGAACUAGAGCUCGGGAGAGGAGAGUGGAAUUCCCAGUGUAGAGGUGAAAUUCGUAGAUAUCGGGAGGAACACCUGUGGCGAAAGCGGCUCACUGGACCACAACUGACGCUGAGGCGCGAAAGCUAGGGGAGCAAACAGG
Molecule: ribosomal RNA, 253 nt
Filed under: uncultured bacterium
Lineage: Bacteria
Description: partial 16S ribosomal RNA
Rfam family: Bacterial small subunit ribosomal RNA
Source: RNAcentral